CCCGAAACAGACUCUCGUCCACUCCCCCUCGUGACGCUCUGUGACGUCACGUAUUUUGUGUAUGACGCGUCGACGCCCAACAGAGCUCCGCUUUAAUCACCGGUCGCAUCUUCAAUACUGCUUCAGCAGUUUAAUUUUAUCCCAACCUUCGCGAUCAAUGUAUUGUGUGUGUUAUAUUUUUUAAACUCUCCGAAGAGCCAUCCAAAAUUAUUAUACUCGGAGUACUCUCUCUUGUGAAUAUCUGAAUACAUGUUUACCCAAAUGUGCCGUGAAAUACCUGAAAUAAAUCUCACAAUGGUGUCCGGACAGUAUCAUCGUCAUCGUCCAUUAAAUCACGUGAUCAUGAUUGUGCCCAACGUCCGUUUCAUUUCCCGCCAGUGCGCGCUUCUUCUUCUUCAUUAUAAAAAAAACUCCUCCGCGACGUCCUCGUCCUCUUCUUCUUCACUUAUCUCCGUCUCCGCUUGUCCGCCUCCACCUCCACGACAUCAGACAUGUACAUGCGCUGCGACCCCGGCACGUGUCCCCGUUUCUCCCGCUGGGUGUCGGAGUGCAGGCGGCCCAGAAAGAGACGGGCAGCGUCUUGGAGUGAGCAGGGAAAACGAGCCAGGACUGAGACAGAGUAUAAUCCAGAAGUUUGCUACGUCGUACAGUUCUGGUUCUCUAAAAUUGAGCAUCGAGGUGUCGACAAGGUUUUGUGCAAAGGUGCCAGCUCCAAAGCAGUCGACGAGUGUGUGGUGGUCGUGUGUGAGGAAGGUGUUCCUUGCGCUCUACGGGAGCCGAAUGGAUAGCGGAACCUUUGGGGGUUAACAACGGAGCUGAGAAGUUUGAGGAUCAAGAAGCUAGUCAUGGCGACAUUGAAAUGGAACGGUCAGAAAGUCCCAAAAUACAGGGUGAAAGGGAUUCCAUGUUCCACCAGUUGUGCUAUGCACAUCGGAAUGGUUUUGGGGAUACCGCCGAGGAGAUGCCACAGCAUUGUUCAAAUGUUUAAAUGUGAAUCUGAGUGCUUGUAAACUCCAAGUUCAUCCCUUACAUGCUUUUAGCAAAGGGUGUGGAAUGGAGCAGAGUUCAUCUUUCAAACCCAAAACAUUUCGACCUACUUUCCCACUGCAUUUCUGCAGAGCUUUUGACCUUCCUAAUUUUGUAUAUUUUCUUUUUGAUAUGGGCACAGAUUUGUACGAAUAAUCCGAAUAAACUAUUUUUGUUCACAAUCUGAAUCUGUUUCUUUCUUAUGGAUGACCCAUGGUAAUUUCAGUUUAAUAAUAAAUUUUAUUUAUACUACAGGGUGCCCCACAGAAAACCAAGAAAUUUGAGAUUGAGAUUUAUUUUGCCAUAUUUUGCACUACAUCUAACGUUUGUUUUUGUUUUGUUUGAAAAUAAAGUGUAUCUUUGUUUUACACUACAUCUAAGUUUGCUUUUGUUUUGUUUUAAAUAAACUGUACCAAAUUUCCUGGUUUUCUGUGGGGCACCCUGUAUAUAGCACUUUUCAAAUGCAAAGAAAUCUCAAAGUGCUGAACAAGGGAAAAAUCAGUUUGUCAAGUAAAAAAGAAAGAGAAAAUAGAAAUGUGGUAAGAAUCAAAGUAGAGUCAAAUUACAUUUAAAAAAAACACAAAUAUUCAUGAAAAAAAAAUUCAAUUGCAUAAAAUACAAAUAACAAUAGAAAAGUCAAAUUACAUAGAAUAGAAAUAACAAUGAAUGGAUGGGACAAAUUGCGUAGAAUAGAAAUAAUAACAUCCUUGACCAAUCCUUUUUGCAAAGCAGGUUACUCAAAAGCAAGGGAAUAAAAGUGUGUUUAAGGCUGCAUUUAAAAACUAAUAAAACCAGAUGCCUUCAGGUGAUGGAAAUUGCCUUGAGCCAAUGGAGUGAAAGCUGCUGGUCAGCAUGCUUGGGAGUUACAGCCAGAGGAUAGACUAGUGGAUAAAUCACAGGAUAGAUAGAUAUACCCACAAUAGACUAGUGGGUAGUUCACCAUAUUAUACGGUACUCCCAUGGGUACCCGGUGUUGCCGGGCAAUGCAGAGUCCCUCCUUCCACCCUUCCCCUCCGGACUCCCACCCCACCCCUUCCUCCUCCCACCAACACCCUUUCCCCCCUCCUCCCGCAAAGGAAUUUUCACAGGGUAUGUAACCACAUUUGGGAAAAAUAAAUAAUUAAAAUAAAACCCGCUUUAGAUUCCUCUAGCAACCUCUAAGUUGCCACGUAUUGUGUCGAAAUCUGUCCCCCUGAGGGACAAAUUCAUCGAUAUGGCCGAAAUAAGUAAUGGUAUGUAUAUACUGAAUGUAUGCAUGUAUAUAUAUAUAUAUAUAUGUUUAUCUCCGUCGCCAUGUAAUGAAUCUGGGGUGUAUUCAGUCACGAAGUUUCUUUUUAGAGCACUCGCCAAGUUGCUUAAGCACUGAAGCAAGCAGUUCAUUCAAAAUUGUUGAUAAGGAAUGGCUGGCUUGGCAAGUGCUAGAUAGCUACUUGAGAACUGAACACAUCCCUGGAUAUUUUUACAGCAUACAGUUGGCCUACAUACCAAAUGCUGACAAAGUUUUUUUUUUUAAUUAAAGACUUCAAAUAUGAAUCAUGGCUAUUUUCAUUGUAAUGAAAAUGUACCUUGUUCAGUUUUCAACACGUUGUUUUACUUUUUAAAAUGUACAUAAACUCAGAGGUGAUGCUGAGUGUACGAAAGUGGACGUGUACAUCUUAUCUAUAUAUUACGAAAACUCUCAUCUUGUAUGUAUGUAUGUUCCCAAAAUACAGCCAAAACAGUAUACGAAAGCGCAAACAUUUUUGGCCCGCCUUACUCCCAUUCUCCUGCGGUGCACAGUAUCAAGUUUCGUUAAAAUCAGGCAACAAAAAAAUUAUUUAAAAAAUCUAUUCCCAAUUCAGUCAAGUACUCUUCGGGAGAAUUUGAUUAAUGCAAACAACCUCAGCGGUAUAGUUCGCUGGAGCUCUCUUUUUUUUCUCUUUAAAUGAUUUAUUUAAAAAUCUCAAACAUUUAGUAUGGACAAAGAACAAUUUAUUUUUAAGCAUAAAAUAAACCGCCAUUUUGAUCUAAUACUUCCGUGUUCAUUAAUAAAUAAAAUUGUGUUUAGAAGAUUACGCACAAUAAUUUCUUCGACUUUCUUUUCUCCGUUUU
This is a long non-coding RNA of Eptatretus burgeri (inshore hagfish), 3117 nucleotides long. Lineage: Eukaryota; Metazoa; Chordata; Myxini; Myxiniformes; Myxinidae. The record is from Ensembl.